UGGGCGUAAGGGCUCGCAGGCGGUUUCUUAAGUCUGAUGUGAAAGCCCCCGGCUCAACCGGGGAGGGUCAUUGGAAACUGGGAAACUUGAGUGCAGAAGAGGAGAGUGGAAUUCCACGUGUAGCGGUGAAAUGCGUAGAGAUGUGGAGGAACACCAGUGGCGAAGGCGACUCUCUGGUCUGUAACUGACGCUGAGGAGCGAAAGCGUGGGGAGCGAACAGGAUUAGAUACCCUGGUAGUCCACGCCGUAAACGAUGAGUGCUAAGUGUUAGGGGGUUUCCGCCCCUUACUGCUGCAGCUAACGCAUUAAGCACUCCGCCUGGGGAGUACGGUCGCGAGACUGAAACUCAAAGGAAUUGACGGGGGCCCGCA
RNAcentral lists this ribosomal RNA (371 nucleotides) under Bacillus pumilus. RNAcentral's name for it is "bacterial SSU rRNA". It matches the Rfam family "Bacterial small subunit ribosomal RNA", at positions 555 to 925 of the family's 1533-position model. Lineage: Bacteria; Bacillati; Bacillota; Bacilli; Caryophanales; Bacillaceae. The record is from RNAcentral.